AGAAAUCGUUAAGGGCGUAUGGCGGAUGCCUAGGCUUUCAGAGGCGAAGAAGGACGUGGUAAGCUGCGAAAAGCUACGGGGAUUGGCACACACGAGUUGAUCCGUAGAUAUCCGAAUGGGGCAACCCACUAUGUUGAAGACAUAGUACCCUGCGGGGGGCAAACCUGGAGAACUGAAACAUCUAAGUACCCAGAGGAAAAGAAAUCGAAGAGAUUCCGUUAGUAGUGGCGAGCGAACGCGGAUUAGCCCAAAAGUUUAUAAAUAUUUAGUGGAAUACUUUGGAAAGAGUAAUCGAAGAAGGUGAUAAUCCUGUACACGAAAGGUAUAUAUAGAUGAAAAAAGAGUAGAGCGGGACACGAGAAAUCCUGUUUGAAAAUGGGGGGACCAUCCUCCAAGGCUAAAUACUCCUGAAAGACCGAUAGUGAACGAGUACUGUGAAGGAAAGGUGAAAAGCACUUCGAAUAGAAGGGUGAAAUAGAACCUGAAACCGUACGCCUACAAGCGGUCGGAGCACAAAUAUUGUGUGACGGCGUGCCUUUUGCAUAAUGAGCCUACGAGUUAAUUUUACUAGCGAGGUUAAGUGGUUCAGCCACGGAGCCGGAGCGAAAGCGAGUCUGAAUAGGGCUGAUAGUUAGUAGGAUUAGACGCGAAACCUUGUGAUCUACCCAUGGGCAGGUUGAAGCUUUGGUAACACAGAGUGGAGGACCGAACCCGUUGACGUUGAAAAGUCUUGGGAUGACUUGUGGGUAGGGGUGAAAGGCCAAUCAAACUGGGAGAUAGCUCGUACUCUCCGAAAUGCAUUUAGGUGCAGCGUUGAUAUAUAGUUUAUUAGAGGUAGAGCUACUGAUUGGAUGCGGGGGCUUCAUCGCCUACCAAUUCCUGACAAACUCCGAAUGCUAAUAAAUGAUAAUCAGCAGUGAGGGCAUGGGUGCUAAGGUCCAUGUCCGAGAGGGAAAGAACCCGGACCACCAGCUAAGGUCCCUAAAUAUAUGCUAAGUUGAAAGAACGCGGUUGAACUGCCUAGACAGCUAGGAUGUUGGCUUGGAAGCAGCCAUUCAUUUAAAGAGUGCGUAACAGCUCACUAGUCGAGCGGUUCGGCAUGGAUAAUAAUCGGGCAUAAGCAUAUUACCGAAGCUAUGGGAUAUAUAAUAUAUCGGUAGGAGAGCAUUCUAUAGGGGUAGAAGGUGUACUGCGAGGUAUGCUGGACUGUAUAGAAAAGAAAAUGUAGGCAUAAGUAACGAUAAAGGGGGCGAGAAACCCCCUCACCGAAAGACUAAGGUUUCCUCAGCUAUGCUAAUCAGCUGAGGGUUAGUCGGGACCUAACGCGAACCCGAGAGGGGUAGUGGAUGGACAACAGGUUAAUAUUCCUGUACUUGCUCACAAUAAAAGGGGACGGUUUUAAGAAACUACUGGAGACUGACGGAAUAGUCAAGACCUAGCCUACGGGCGAAGUUGUUGUAGCGUAUUAAGAUCCAAGAAAAGCCGAAGUGAAGCAACCCGUACCAAAACCGACACAGGUAGUCGAGGAGAGAAUCCUAAGGUGCUCGAGUGAGUCGUGGCUAAGGAACUAGGCAAAAUGGUCUCGUAACUUCGGGAGAAGAGACGCCAUCAGUAAUGAUGGCCGCAGAAAAGAGGCCCAGGCGACUGUUUAUCAAAAACACAGGACUCUGCAAAAUCGAAAGAUGAAGUAUAGGGUCUGACACCUGCCCGGUGCUGGAAGGUUAAGGGAGGAUGUUAGCGUUUACGCGAAGCAUUUGACUGAAGCCCCAGUAAACGGCGGCCGUAACUAUAACGGUCCUAAGGUAGCGAAAUUCCUUGUCGGGUAAGUUCCGACCUGCACGAAUGGUGUAACGAUCUGACUAUAACUUCGUAUUGACUUUGAGUAAGUAAUGUGUAGGAUAGGUGGGAGACUUUGAAGCGUGCACGCUAGUGUAUGUGGAGUCGUUGUUGAAAUACCACCCUUUACUUACUUGGAGCCUAAUCUCGUGAGAGAGACAUUGCGUGGUGGGUAGUUUGACUGGGGUGGUCGCCUCCAAAAGAGUAACGGAGGCUUUCAAAGGUACCCUCAGCACGCUUGGUAACCGUGCGUAGAGUGUAAUGGCAAAAGGGUGCUUGACUGUGAGACCUACAAGUCGAUCAGGUGCGAAAGCAGGACAUAGUGAUCCGGUGGUUCCGUAUGGAAGGGCCAUCGCUCAUAGGAUAAAAGGUACUCCGGGGAUAACAGGCUAGUCUCCCCCAAGAGCUCACAUCGACGGGGAGGUUCGGCACCUCGAUGUCGGCUCGUCACAUCCUGGGGCUGGAGAAGGUCCCAAGGGUUGGGCUGUUCGCCCAUUAAAGUGGCACGCGAGCUGGGUUCAGAACG
RNAcentral lists this ribosomal RNA (2362 nucleotides) under oral metagenome. Its description in RNAcentral is "bacterial LSU rRNA". It matches the Rfam family "Bacterial large subunit ribosomal RNA", at positions 1 to 2618 of the family's 2925-position model. The record is from RNAcentral.